RNAcentral lists this ribosomal RNA (433 nucleotides) under uncultured bacterium. RNAcentral's name for it is "partial 16S ribosomal RNA". It matches the Rfam family "Bacterial small subunit ribosomal RNA", at positions 29 to 507 of the family's 1533-position model. The record is from RNAcentral.
AACGAACGCUGGCGGCAUGCCUAACACAUGCCAGUCGAACGAGACCUUUGGGUCUAGUGGCGCACGGGUGCGUAACGCGUGGGAAUCUGCCCUUGGGUUCGGAAUAACAGUGAGAAAUUGCUGCUAAUACCGGAUGAUGUCUUCGGACCAAAGAUUUAUCGCCCAGGGAUGAGCCCGCGUAGGAUUAGCUAGUUGGUGGGGUAAUGGCCUACCAAGGCGACGAUCCUUAGCUGGUCUGAGAGGAUGAUCAGCCACACUGGGAAUGAGACACGGCCCAGAAUCCUACGGGAGGGAGCAGUGGGGAAUAUUGGACAAUGGGCGCAAGCCUGAUCCAGCAAUGCCGGGUGAGUGAUGAAGGCCUUAGGGUUGUAAAGCUCUUUUACCAGGGAUGAUAAUGACAGUACCUGGAGAAUAAGCUCCGGCUAACUCCGUG